RNAcentral lists this ribosomal RNA (252 nucleotides) under uncultured bacterium. Its description in RNAcentral is "partial 16S ribosomal RNA". It matches the Rfam family "Bacterial small subunit ribosomal RNA", at positions 526 to 779 of the family's 1533-position model. The record is from RNAcentral.
CGUAGGUGGCAAGCGUUGUCCGGAAUUAUUGGGCGUAAAGCGCGCGCAGGCGGUUUCUUAAGUCUGAUGUGAAAGCCCCGGCUCAACCGGGAGGGUCAUUGGAAACUGGGGAACUUGAGUGCAGAAGAGGAGAGUGGAAUUCCACGUGUAGCGGUGAAAUGCGUAGAGAUGUGGAGGAACACCAGUGGCGAAGGCGACUCUCUGGUCUGUAACUGACGCUGAGGCGCGAAAGCGUGGGGAGCGAACAGGAUU